Molecule: ribosomal RNA, 610 nt
Filed under: uncultured Legionella sp.
Lineage: Bacteria; Pseudomonadati; Pseudomonadota; Gammaproteobacteria; Legionellales; Legionellaceae
Description: bacterial SSU rRNA
Rfam family: Bacterial small subunit ribosomal RNA
Source: RNAcentral
GAUUAGCCUGCGUCCGAUUAGCUAGUUGGUGGGGUAAGGGCCUACCAAGGCGACGAUCGGUAGCUGGUCUGAGAGGAUGACCAGCCACACUGGAACUGAGACACGGUCCAGACUCCUACGGGAGGCAGCAGUGGGGAAUAUUGGACAAUGGGGGCAACCCUGAUCCAGCAAUGCCGCGUGUGUGAAGAAGGCCUGAGGGUUGUAAAGCACUUUCAGUGGGGAGGAGGGUUGAUAGGUUAAGAGCUGAUUAACUGGACGUUACCCACAGAAGAAGCACCGGCUAACUCCGUGCCAGCAGCCGCGGUAAUACGGAGGGUGCGAGCGUUAAUCGGAAUUAUUGGGCGUAAAGGGCGCGUAGGUGGUUGAUUAAGUUAUCUGUGAAAUUCCUGGGCUUAACCUGGGACGGUCAGAUAAUACUGGUUGACUCGAGUAUGGGAGAGGGUAGUGGAAUUUCCGGUGUAGCGGUGAAAUGCGUAGAGAUCGGAAGGAACACCAGUGGCGAAGGCGGCUACCUGGCCUAAUACUGACACUGAGGCACGAAAGCGUGGGGAGCAAACAGGAUUAGAUACCCUGGUAGUCCACGCUGUAAACGAUGUCAACUAGCUGUUGG